RNAcentral lists this ribosomal RNA (531 nucleotides) under Erythrobacter sp. W030. Its description in RNAcentral is "SSU rRNA". It matches the Rfam family "Bacterial small subunit ribosomal RNA", at positions 73 to 586 of the family's 1533-position model. The record is from RNAcentral. Lineage: Bacteria; Pseudomonadati; Pseudomonadota; Alphaproteobacteria; Sphingomonadales; Erythrobacteraceae.
GGGGUGCUUGCUCCCUGAUCUUAGCGGCGGUCGGGUGUGUAACACGUGGGCAACCUGCCCUGCAGUCUGGGAUAACUCCGGGAAACCGGAGCUAAUACCGGGUAAUACAUCGCACCGCAUGGGUGCAAUGUUGAAAGUUGGCCUUUGGCUAACACUGCAGGAUGGGCCCGCGGCGCAUUAGCUAGUUGGUAAGGUAACGGCUUACCAAGGCGACAAUGCGUAGCCGACCUGAGAGGGUGAUCGGCCACACUGGGACUGAGACACGGCCCAGACUCCUACGGGAGGCAGCAGUAGGGAAUCUUCCGCAAUGGACGAAAGUCUGACGGAGCAACGCCGCGUGAGUGACGAAAGCCUUCGGGUCGUAAAGCUCUGUUGUUAGGGAAGAACAAGUACCGUUCGAAUAGGGCGGUACCUUGACGGUACCUAACCAGAAAGCCACGGCUAACUACGUGCCAGCAGCCGCGGUAAUACGUAUGUGGCAAGCGUUGUCCGGAAUUAUUGGGCGUAAAGCGCGCGCAGGCGGUCUUUUAA